ACGUAGGGUGCAAGCGUUAAUCGGAAUUACUGGGCGUAAAGCGUGCGCAGGCGGCUUUGCAAGACAGAUGUGAAAUCCCCGGGCUUAACCUGGGAACUGCAUUUGUGACUGCAUGGCUGGAGUGCGGCAGAGGGGGAUGGAAUUCCGCGUGUAGCAGUGAAAUGCGUAGAUAUCGGGAGGAAUACCGAUGGCGAAGGCAGGUCUCUGGGCUGAUACUGACGCUCAUGCACGAAAGCGUGGGGAGCAAACAGGA
Molecule: ribosomal RNA, 253 nt
Filed under: uncultured prokaryote
Description: partial 16S ribosomal RNA
Rfam family: Bacterial small subunit ribosomal RNA
Source: RNAcentral